RNAcentral lists this transfer RNA (85 nucleotides) under Clostridiales bacterium. Its description in RNAcentral is "tRNA-Leu". It matches the Rfam family "tRNA". Rfam says of the family: Transfer RNA (tRNA) molecules are approximately 80 nucleotides in length. The record is from RNAcentral. Lineage: Bacteria; Bacillati; Bacillota; Clostridia; Eubacteriales.
GCGAGAGUGCUGGAAUAGGUAGACAGGCACGUUUGAGGGGCGUGUGUCGAUAGGCGUGUGGGUUCAAGUCCCAUCUCUCGCACCA